UAGCUCAGUUGGUAGAGCAUUAGAUUGAAGCUCUAAGUGUCGGCGGUUCGAUUCCGU
RNAcentral lists this transfer RNA (57 nucleotides) under Planococcus glaciei. RNAcentral describes it as "Planomicrobium glaciei tRNA-Phe". It matches the Rfam family "tRNA", at positions 8 to 62 of the family's 71-position model. From Rfam's summary of the family: Transfer RNA (tRNA) molecules are approximately 80 nucleotides in length. Their secondary structure includes four short double-helical elements and three loops (D, anti-codon, and T loops). The record is from RNAcentral. Lineage: Bacteria; Bacillati; Bacillota; Bacilli; Caryophanales; Caryophanaceae.